GUGUGGACCCUAUUUAAAAAAAAAAAAAAAAAAAGUGGAAUUUACACUGACUGAACCGAAAAGAACAAAAAAGACGUUUAAGGUUUUAACCCGCUUCGGCCACCUCCCCAGUCCCCACGUGCUUGAUGAAAAAAAAAAAAAAAAAAAAAAAAGACGAGAAUGAACAUCAUCGCUGCGCCCCGGCCUUACGGGGGCCAUCGUCCCGACGUGGGCAGCGGGUGUUUGCCCGGGCCGAGGUCCCACCCCGCCCCGGGGCCUCCCUGCGCUGCCUUUGUGUUAGCGGGUCAGGCACCCCCGCGGCUUCGCCGGGCGGGUGGUCGGCACGGUCCCGGCCUCAGCGGUGACAGACCCCGCCCUGUCAGCUCACCCCGAGGUCUGGGCCUUCUGGAGGCUGCUAGCUAUUCACACAGCAGGGCUGAUGAAAGUGUCGGUCUGCCAGAGCCACGUUGGUUCCCGAUCACAAAUGACACAAUCGCGUUGUACUGGGCCCUUCUCUGGACUCUCUCAACCUUGUUCCGACGGAGGACAUCUAAGCCUGGGAAUUUCAAAUAUGUGGCAGAUACUGAUGGGAGAGGAGCUGCCUUAGUCAAACUCUUUUGAGAAAUGUCAAAUGACAACAAAAGGCAAGACUACUUUUUCUUUGCGUGACAAUUCUUCCAACAGUGAAAUGUUGAAUAGCAGGUUAUGACCAGUCUUGGGAGCAGAGGUGGAGCUGAAGUGGAAAUCAGCUGAUCAGAUGUGAGGGUCCCAGGAGGCCUGUCCAGGACAGGGACUAAGCAUAUUUGGCCAGAAACAACACAGUGACUCCCAGUGUGAAGCACGGAGCUACAACAGCCAUCUUAGGGCCGUGUGGGGAGCUGGCCUAGAAGGACAAACCAGUACUCUGAAGGUAAGGUGGCAAGAACCUGAGCCCUUAGUGACUCAAUUUCUGGUCAAUUAACUAACUGACAUCAUCUGACCUCCAGAAUUCUUGCUAUAUGAGAUGACUCCUUUCACAGUUGUGUACGCCGUUUUGAGUUGGGCUUUCAGUGAUUUGCAUCAGGAGGCUUCUCGAGGGACAGCCCACACUCUCACACUGCGACACACACCUGGGGCAGCAGAUCAAACCCAAACAAGAGGAGCAGGGACUAAAUUCACAACCAGUUGGCCGCUCCCCUGGAUCUUCUAGAAAAACUGUGGUUGGCCUCUCCCCAACUUCCAGAGGACAAGGGUCCAGGGGCAAUGGGAUGUGGUCUGGCACUUAGGAACUGAAGAAGAGUAUCUGCUUUACACCGAGAGUUCAGCUUUUGACGUCAUUCGUGUAGUUACUCAUUACAAGUGUGUAGACACUAGGUAGGAUGUAAGGACAAACAGUGCUGUAGAACAAACAGGGUGCAUCUUCAGGGGCCCCUCCCUUCCACGCUCACCAAUCGCCUUGUUGGUGUCAACCCCACCCCUCUCCACAGGUACCGGUCCCUCUUGCAGACUCUUUGACAGGAGGUAGAAUUCUGUACCAUCUGAGAGUUUGCGUGUGGGCUGGAUCAGGCCCAGCGUGGACCUUGCGCACUAAAAAAUCAGAGUGAGCUCUUAAACAGCACCCUUCUGCUUUGGGGUGAACUCUAUUCCCUAGCCUAUUCCAUACCCACUGGGAACCUAAAGAAGGGCUGGAGUCAGACUUCCUACAGAAAUCUAUUGAUUCAUUCCAAGAGGAGCUCACCAUGCCCUAUUUAAACCUCUGUGGUUUUUUAAAAGUUUUUAUUUAAAUACCAGUUAGUAAACCUACAGUGUAAUAUUAGUUUCAGACGUACAAUAUA
Long non-coding RNA from Leopardus geoffroyi (Geoffroy's cat), 1793 nucleotides. RefSeq lists it as uncharacterized. The record is from RefSeq and is a predicted model, not a curated record. Lineage: Eukaryota; Metazoa; Chordata; Mammalia; Carnivora; Felidae. The transcript has 3 exons.